AAAUUUCAGCUGUUCUCAGCCCUGCUGCUGCAUUUUUACCAAAGACUUCCAACAGCACCAUGAAGUUGGUAGGCUUCCUCCUGCUUGUGACCAUCAUCACCCUCAGCCUAGAGGUACAGGAGCUUCAGGCUUCGGUGAUACCACUGAAACUGUUGGGCACCUGUAUUGACCUCUGCACCAGUGACUGGGACUGUGAUCUAGGAGAGUCCUGCAUCAGCAAUGGGUGUGGCCACAUCUGUAUGGCAGGCUAAGGACAGAUGAAGACUAAUCUUAAGAGUCAUCCUUCUCUAAUAAUUGCUCAUCCCUUCCUGGAGUUUUAAUUUCAAAAGAUGUCGCUGUUUGGAGUUCCUUGACCAAGAAGACAGAUAAAAAUGGGGGCCUGUGGAUGGAGAUUACAAAGGAUGUGGUGGGGAAGGGAAAA
Molecule: long non-coding RNA, 421 nt
Organism: Molossus molossus (Pallas's mastiff bat)
Lineage: Eukaryota; Metazoa; Chordata; Mammalia; Chiroptera; Molossidae
Exons: 3
Source: RefSeq, a predicted model, not a curated record